GAUGAACGCUGGCGGCGUGCCUAAUACAUGCAAGUCGAGCGAACAGACGAGGAGCUUGCUCCUCUGACGUUAGCGGCGGACGGGUGAGUAACACGUGGAUAACCUACCUAUAAGACUGGGAUAACUUCGGGAAACCGGAGCUAAUACCGGAUAAUAUAUUGAACCGCAUGGUUCAAUAGUGAAAGACGGGUUUGCUGUCACUUAUAGAUGGAUCCGCGCCGCAUUAGCUAGUUGGUAAGGUAACGGCUUACCAAGGCAACGAUGCGUAGCCGACCUGAGAGGGUGAUCGGCCACACUGGAACUGAGACACGGUCCAGACUCCUACGGGAGGCAGCAGUAGGGAAUCUUCCGCGAUGGGCGAAAGCUUGACGGAGCAACGCCGCGUGAGUGAUGAAGGUCUUCGGAUCGUAAAACUCUGUUAUUAGGGAAGAACAAAUGUGUAAGUAACUAUGCACGUCUUGACGGUACCUAAUCAGAAAGCCACGGCUAACUACGUG
This 497-nucleotide ribosomal RNA is filed under the name uncultured bacterium. RNAcentral's name for it is "partial 16S ribosomal RNA". It matches the Rfam family "Bacterial small subunit ribosomal RNA", at positions 28 to 507 of the family's 1533-position model. The record is from RNAcentral.